Molecule: ribosomal RNA, 465 nt
Filed under: Vreelandella stevensii
Lineage: Bacteria; Pseudomonadati; Pseudomonadota; Gammaproteobacteria; Oceanospirillales; Halomonadaceae
Description: partial 16S ribosomal RNA
Rfam family: Bacterial small subunit ribosomal RNA
Source: RNAcentral
CCUACGGGUGGCAGCAGUGGGGAAUAUUGGACAAUGGGCGAAAGCCUGAUCCAGCCAUGCCGCGUGUGUGAAGAAGGCCUUCGGGUUGUAAAGCACUUUCAGUGGGGAAGAAAGCCUUGGGGCUAAUACCCUCGAGGAAGGACAGCACCCACAGAAGAAGCACCGGCUAACUCCGUGCCAGCAGCCGCGGUAAUACGGAGGGUGCGAGCGUUAAUCGGAAUUACUGGGCGUAAAGCGCGCGUAGGCGGUCUGAUAAGCCGGUUGUGAAAGCCCCGGGCUCAACCUGGGAACGGCAUCCGGAACUGUCAGGCUAGAGUGCAGGAGAGGAAGGUAGAAUUCCCGGUGUAGCAGUGAAAUGCGUAGAGAUCGGGAGGAAUACCAGUGGCGAAGGCGGCCUUCUGGACUGACACUGACGCUGAGGUGCGAAAGCGUGGGUAGCAAACAGGAUUAGAUACCCUAGUAGUC